UGGGGAAUUUUGGACAAUGGACGAAAGUCUGAUCCAGCCAUGCCGCGUGCGGGAAGAAGGCCUUCGGGUUGUAAACCGCUUUUGUCAGGGAAGAAAUCUUCUGGGUUAAUACCUCGGGAGGAUGACGGUACCUGAAGAAUAAGCACCGGCUAACUACGUGCCAGCAGCCGCGGUAAUACGUAGGGUGCAAGCGUUAAUCGGAAUUACUGGGCGUAAAGCGUGCGCAGGCGGUUAUGUAAGACAGAGGUGAAAUCCCCGGGCUCAACCUGGGAACUGCCUUUGUGACUGCAUGACUAGAGUACGGUAGAGGGGGAUGGAAUUCCGCGUGUAGCAGUGAAAUGCGUAGAUAUGCGGAGGAACACCGAUGGCGAAGGCAAUCCCCUGGGCCUGCACUGACGCUCAUGCACGAAAGCGUGGGGAGCAAACAGGAUUAGAUACCCUGGUAGUCCACGCCCUAAACGAUGUCAACUGGUUGUUGGGAAGGUUCCUUCUCAGUAACGUAGCUAACGCGUGAAGUUGACCGCCUGGGGAGUACGGCCGCAAGGUUG
This 548-nucleotide ribosomal RNA is filed under the name uncultured bacterium. RNAcentral describes it as "bacterial SSU rRNA". It matches the Rfam family "Bacterial small subunit ribosomal RNA", at positions 355 to 896 of the family's 1533-position model. The record is from RNAcentral.